GGGCGUGCGCAGCUUAACAUGCAAGUCGAACGGUAACAGGGAGCUUGCUCCGCUGACGAGUGGCGAACGGGUGAGUAAUACAUCGGAACGUGCCCAGUAAUGGGGGAUAGCUCGGCGAAAGCCGGAUUAAUACCGCAUACGCCCUGAGGGGGAAAGUGGGGGACCGCAAGGCCUCACGUUAUUGGAGCGGCCGAUGGCUGAUUAGCUAGUUGGUAGGGUAAAGGCCUACCAAGGCGACGAUCAGUAGCUGGUCUGAGAGGACGAUCAGCCACACUGGGACUGAGACACGGCCCAGACUCCUACGGGAGGCAGCAGUGGGGAAUUUUGGACAAUGGGGGAAACCCUGAUCCAGCAAUGCCGCGUGUGCGAAGAAGGCCUUCGGGUUGUAAAGCACUUUUGUCAGGGAAGAAAUCCUUUGGGCUAAUACCCUAGGGGGAUGACGGUACCUGAAGAAUAAGCACCGGCUAACUACGUGCCAGCAGCCGCGGUAAUACGUAGGGUGCAAGCGUUAAUCGGAAUUACUGGGCGUAAAGCGUGCGCAGGCGGUUGUGUAAGACAGGUGUGAAAUCCCCGGGCUUAACCUGGGAAUUGCAUUUGUGACUGCACGACU
This 610-nucleotide ribosomal RNA is filed under the name Limnobacter sp. RNAcentral's name for it is "bacterial SSU rRNA". It matches the Rfam family "Bacterial small subunit ribosomal RNA", at positions 40 to 642 of the family's 1533-position model. Lineage: Bacteria; Pseudomonadati; Pseudomonadota; Betaproteobacteria; Burkholderiales; Burkholderiaceae. The record is from RNAcentral.